Molecule: signal recognition particle RNA, 266 nt
Filed under: Sporanaerobacter acetigenes DSM 13106
Lineage: Bacteria; Bacillati; Bacillota; Tissierellia; Tissierellales; Sporanaerobacteraceae
Description: Bacterial large signal recognition particle RNA
Rfam family: Bacterial large signal recognition particle RNA
About the family: The signal recognition particle (SRP) is a universally conserved ribonucleoprotein involved in the co-translational targeting of proteins to membranes. Archaeal SRP consists of a 7S RNA and homologues of the eukaryotic SRP19 and SRP54 proteins.
Source: Rfam by way of RNAcentral
CCGUGCUAGAUGGGGAGGUAGCGGUGCCCUGUAACCUGCAAGCCGCUAUAGCAGGAUUGAAUUCCUGGUUUCGGCUUGUCAUUGUAAGGUCUGCCCUAAAUAAGUGGCGGUGACGAUUGGGUCCUACGCAACGGAAAUUCAUGAACCCCGUCAGGUCCGGGAGGAAGCAGCGGUAAGUGAACACUUUCGUGUGCCGUAGGUAAGCCUAAUCUGAGUUAACUGUUUAGGUAACGCUUGGAAUGACAAUGCCAACGCCAGGUGCACGG